AUGGUCCAUUGUUUAUCCGGGAACAGGAGAGGAUCCAAAAUCUGCAACGACGUCGAGGCUUUGUGGAUGCUUCGAAUGAAAAGAGCGUCAUUUGCCAGGCUUGUCGAGACCUUUAGGAGCAGGGGGCUGCUACAAGAUAACAUCAACACCGGUGUGGAAGAGCAAGUGGUCAUGUUUCUCCAUGUUGUUGGCCAUAACCAAAGGUUCAGGGUCAUUCACAACAUGUUCAGGAGAUCAAUGGAGACCAUCUCUAGGUACUUCAAGCAGGUGCUUUUUGCUAUGGGGAGCUUAGAGGCGACAUGA
Molecule: ribosomal RNA, 303 nt
Filed under: Triticum aestivum (bread wheat)
Lineage: Eukaryota; Viridiplantae; Streptophyta; Magnoliopsida; Poales; Poaceae
Description: partial small subunit ribosomal RNA
Source: RNAcentral